RNAcentral lists this unclassified non-coding RNA (257 nucleotides) under plant metagenome. Its description in RNAcentral is "partial contains small subunit ribosomal RNA, internal transcribed spacer 1, and 5.8S ribosomal RNA". The record is from RNAcentral.
UUUCCGUAGGUGAACCUGCGGAAGGAUCAUUAACGAGUUAGGGUCUUCUAGGCCCGACCUCCCAACCCUUUGUUUACUGAACCAUUGUUGCCUCGGUGGGUCCGUCUUACGACCGCCGGGGGAUCGCCGCGAGGCGCCUCCUGGCCAGCGCCCACCGAUAGCCCAACCUUUAAAACCCUUUGUGAAUCGUGUCUUAUGUCUAAAUUUAUGAUUAAACAAUCAAAACAAAACUUUCAACAACGGAUCUCUUGGUUCUG